AGGGGAGUUUUCAUCGACAGCACCUCCACAAACCGACUAUUCCCACACCUCUCUAUCAUCGUCUUCCCGGCGCUUCGGUCCUCAUUCCUCAAUCCCGUCCCGUGGGCGUCGCGCGAUCUCCGGUCCUGGGAGAUCAGGGCUCUGCUUCAUUGCUGUUCCUUCCCUCGUUCCUCGGCAGCGCGUGCUCCUUCGAACCGCCGCCGCAUCGCCCGCUGGAGUGUCUCCAGUCCCCCACACCAUUUCGUGCAUGGAAAUCUAGUGACCUGGAUCUAAUCUCUGAGCAUGUUUGUGUACGAGGGUAGAGGACCAGGAUCCACGCAAUUAGAUUUCAGUUCCAAGUUGAACUAAAUCACCAAAAUCCCAGGAAUAAGUUAAAAAGUUUGUAUGGGCAGCUAUGGAAAUAACUCGCAAAUAAAGAGAGUUGUUUCCAGCUACAAACGAUUGAAUGAAUAACGAAAACACUGUGUUUGAUGUACGGAGCUAGCUGAAACUCCGUAAGAAAUAAUAUGGAUGUAAAAUUUCUUUGAUGA
Molecule: long non-coding RNA, 530 nt
Organism: Panicum hallii
Lineage: Eukaryota; Viridiplantae; Streptophyta; Magnoliopsida; Poales; Poaceae
Exons: 2
Source: RefSeq, a predicted model, not a curated record